AGUGAACGCUGGCGGUAGGCCUAACACAUGCAAGUCGAACGGCAGCACAGUAAGAGCUUGCUCUUACGGGUGGCGAGUGGCGGACGGGUGAGGAAUACAUCGGAUUCCACUUUUUCGUGGGGGAUAACGUAGGGAAACUUACGCUAAUACCGCAUACGUCCUACGGGUGAAAGCAGGGGUUCUUCGGACCUUGCGCGAUUGUAUGAGCCGAUGUCGGAUUAGCUAGUUGGCGGGGUAAAGGCCCACCAAGGCGACGAUCCGUAGCUGGUCUGAGAGGAUGAUCAGCCACACUGGAACUGAGACACGGUCCAGACUCCUACGGGAGGCAGCAGUGGGGAAUAUUGGACAAUGGGCGCAAGCCUGAUCCAGCCAUACCGCGUGGGUGAAGAAGGCCUUCGGGUUGUAAAGCCCUGUUGUUGGGAAAGAAAAGCAGCAGGUUAAUACCCCGCUGUUCUGACGGUACCCAAAGAAUAAGCACCGGCUAACUUCGUG
Molecule: ribosomal RNA, 492 nt
Filed under: uncultured bacterium
Lineage: Bacteria
Description: partial 16S ribosomal RNA
Rfam family: Bacterial small subunit ribosomal RNA
Source: RNAcentral